CAGUAGCCGCGGGAAUACGAAGGGGGCUAGCGUUGCUCGGAAUGACUGGGCGUAAAGGGCGUGUAGGCGGGUCUUUAAGUGAGGGGUGAAAGGUUUGGGCUUAACCCAGACACUGCCUUUCAUACUGGAGACCUUGAGUGCGGGAGAGGCGAGUGGAAUGGUCGGUGUAGCGGUGAAAUGCGUAGAUAUCGAUCGGAACACCCAUGGCGAAGGCAGCUCGCUGGCCUGUAACUGACGCUGAGACGCGAAAGCGUGGGGAGCAAACAGGAUUAGAUACCCGAGUAGUCCCUGUCUCUUAUAC
This 301-nucleotide ribosomal RNA is filed under the name uncultured bacterium. RNAcentral's name for it is "partial 16S ribosomal RNA". It matches the Rfam family "Bacterial small subunit ribosomal RNA", at positions 509 to 807 of the family's 1533-position model. The record is from RNAcentral.